AUGGAAGAGACAAAAGAAACGCU
RNAcentral lists this non-coding RNA (23 nucleotides) under Cricetulus griseus (Chinese hamster). The record is from RNAcentral. Lineage: Eukaryota; Metazoa; Chordata; Mammalia; Rodentia; Cricetidae.